RNAcentral lists this ribosomal RNA (1396 nucleotides) under metagenome. RNAcentral's name for it is "bacterial LSU rRNA". It matches the Rfam family "Bacterial large subunit ribosomal RNA", at positions 1551 to 2925 of the family's 2925-position model. The record is from RNAcentral.
AAACACUGAGGUGUGAAUGCGAAGGAACUUAGGUUCCGAAGUCGCAAAAGCCAUGCAUCCAAGAAAAGCUUCGACGUGUUUUAAUAAUUGCUCGUACCGUAAACCGACUCAGGUGAGUGAGGUGAAUAUCCUCAGACGAUUGGGUUAAAUUCACUUAAGGAACUCGGCAACUUAAUACCGUAACUUAGGGAUAAGGUAUGCCAUCUGAAGCGUAAGGACUUGCUCCCCAAGUUUUGGAUGGUCGCAGAGAAAUGGGAGUAGCGACUGUUUAACAAAAACACAGGGCUGUGCUAAGUCACAAGACGAUGUAUACAGCCUGACGCCUGCCCGGUGCUGGAAGGUUAAGAGGAUUAGUUAGCCGCAAGGCGAGGCUGAGAAUCGAAGCCCCAGUAAACGGCGGCCGUAAGUAUAACGGUCCUAAGGUAGCGAAAUUCCUUGUCGGGUAAGUUCCGACCUGCACGAAAGGCGUAACGACUUCUCCGGUGUCUCAAGUGGAUGCCCAGCGAAUUUGAAAUCUCGGUGAAAAUGCCGAGUACCCGCAGAAAGACGGAAAGACCCCGUGAACCUUUACUGUAACUUGGCAGUGAUUUUAGGUGUUGUAUGUGUAGGAUAGGUGGGAAUCUUUGAAGCCGGGACGCCAGUCUUGGUGGAGAUAACCUUGAAAUACCACCCUUAUUGCACUUGAGAUCUAACCUGCGGCCAUUAGCUGGCCGAGGAACACUGUCUGGUGGGCAGUUUGACUGGGGCGGUCGCCUCCCAAAGAGUAACGGAGGCGUACGAAGGUCACCUCAGCGCGAUCGGAAACCGCGCGUCGAGUGCAUUGGCAUAAGGUGGCUUAACUGCGAGACGUACAUGUCGAGCAGAUGCGAAAGCAGGUCAAAGUGAUCCGGUGGUCCCGCGUGGAAGGGCCAUCGCUCAACGGAUAAAAGGUACUCCGGGGAUAACAGGCUUAUCUCCCCCAAGAGUUCACAUCGACGGGGAGGUUUGGCACCUCGAUGUCGGCUCAUCACAUCCUGGGGCUGGAGCAGGUCCCAAGGGUUUGGCUGUUCGCCAAUUAAAGUGGUACGCGAGCUGGGUUCAGAACGUCGUGAGACAGUUUGGUCCUUAUCUUCUGUGGGCGUAGGAAAUUUGAAGGGAUUUGUCCUUAGUACGAGAGGACCGGGAUGAACGAACCUCUGGCGUUCCUGUUGUACCGCCAGGUGCAGCGCAGGGUAGCUACGUUCGGUUGAGAUAAUCGCUGAAAGCAUCUAAGCGAGAAGCUCACCCUAAGAUAAGAUUUCCCUGGGGCUUCGGCCCCCUAAAGACUCCUCGGAGACUACGAGGUUGAUAGGCAGAGGGUGUAAGGGCAGUGAUGUCUUCAGCUAAUCUGUACUAAUAGGUCGUGAGGCUUUAUUGA